RNAcentral lists this ribosomal RNA (496 nucleotides) under uncultured bacterium. RNAcentral describes it as "bacterial SSU rRNA". It matches the Rfam family "Bacterial small subunit ribosomal RNA", at positions 8 to 496 of the family's 1533-position model. The record is from RNAcentral.
AGAGUUUGAUCAUGGCUCAGAUUGAACGCUGGCGGCAGGCUUAACACAUGCAAGUCGAACGGUAACGGGUUGAAAGCUUGCUUUCAAUGCUGACGAGUGGCGGACGGGUGAGUAAGGCUUGGGGAUCUGGCUUUUGGAGGGGGAUAACCAUUGGAAACGAUGGCUAAUACCGCAUAGAAUCGAGAGAUGAAAGGGGUGGGGAACCACUUGCCAAGGGAUGAACCCAAGUGAGAUUAGGUAGUUGGUGGGGUAAGGGCCUACCAAGCCGACGAUCUCUAGCUGGUCUGAGAGGAUGGCCAGCCACACUGGGACUGAGACACGGCCCAGACUCCUACGGGAGGCAGCAGUGGGGAAUAUUGCGCAAUGGGGGGAACCCUGACGCAGCCAUGCCGCGUGAAUGAAGAAGGCCUUCGGGUUGUAAAGUUCUUUCGGUGGUGAGGAAGGUUAGGAUGUUAAUAGCAUACUGAUUUGACGUUAGCCACAGAAGAAGCACCGG